RNAcentral lists this ribosomal RNA (497 nucleotides) under uncultured bacterium. RNAcentral's name for it is "partial 16S ribosomal RNA". It matches the Rfam family "Bacterial small subunit ribosomal RNA", at positions 28 to 507 of the family's 1533-position model. The record is from RNAcentral.
GACGAACGCUGGCGGCAUGCCUAAUACAUGCAAGUCGAACGCUGAAGCACUCUGCUUGCAGAGUGCGGAUGAGUGGCGAACGGGUGAGUAACACGUGGGAAAUCUGCCUAUAAGAGGGGGAUAACAUUCGGAAACGGAUGCUAAUACCGCAUAUAUUCUUGGACCGCCUGGUCCUUGAAAGAAAGACGGCUUUGCUGUCGCUUAUAGAUGAUCCCGCGGCGUAUUAGUUAGUUGGUGGGGUAAAGGCCUACCAAGACAACGAUACGUAGCCGACCUGAGAGGGUGAUCGGCCACACUGGGACUGAGACACGGCCCAGACUCCUACGGGAGGCAGCAGUAGGGAAUCUUCCACAAUGGGCGAAAGCCUGAUGGAGCAAUGCCGCGUGAAUGAAGAAGGUCUUCGGAUCGUAAAGUUCUGUUAUUAGAGAAGAACAAGUCAAGGAGUAACUGUCUUGACUUUGACGGUACCUAACCAGAAAGUCACGGCUAACUACGUG